GCCCCUGUAGCGCAGCCUGGAUUUUAUUAAACUAGAUAGCGCGUCAGGUUCCUAACCUGUAGGUCGUGGGAGGUUAAAUCAUGCGUGGUUUAAUCAACGAAUUCAAAUCCCAUCAGGGGCG
Molecule: transfer RNA, 121 nt
Filed under: Nanobdellota archaeon
Lineage: Archaea; Nanobdellati; Nanobdellota
Also listed under: 1 other name
Description: tRNA-Arg
Source: RNAcentral